Molecule: ribosomal RNA, 466 nt
Filed under: uncultured bacterium
Lineage: Bacteria
Description: partial 16S ribosomal RNA
Rfam family: Bacterial small subunit ribosomal RNA
Source: RNAcentral
GACGAACGCUGGCGGCGUGCUUAACACAUGCAAGUCGAACGGAAAGGCCCUGCUUUUGUGGGGUGCUCGAGUGGCGAACGGGUGAGUAACACGUGAGUAACCUGCCCUUGACUUUGGGAUAACUUCAGGAAACUGGGGCUAAUACCGGAUAGGAGCUCCUGCUGCAUGGUGGGGGUUGGAAAGUUUCGGCGGUUGGGGAUGGACUCGCGGCUUAUCAGCUUGUUGGUGGGGUAGUGGCUUACCAAGGCUUUGACGGGUAGCCGGCCUGAGAGGGUGACCGGCCACAUUGGGACUGAGAUCCGGCCCAGACUCCUACGGGAGGCAGCAGUGGGGAAUAUUGCACAAUGGGCGGAAGCCUGAUGCAGCAACGCCGCGUGCGGGAUGACGGCCUUCGAGUUGUAAACCGCUUUCGCCUGUGACGAAGCGUGAGUGACGGUAAUGGGUAAAGAAGCACCGGCUAACUACG